This 83-nucleotide unclassified non-coding RNA is filed under the name Chryseobacterium piscicola. RNAcentral's name for it is "Flavo-1 RNA". The record is from RNAcentral. Lineage: Bacteria; Pseudomonadati; Bacteroidota; Flavobacteriia; Flavobacteriales; Weeksellaceae.
AUUUAGCCUCAAUCGCAAUAUUUGUUUGAGAUCAUUUUCUUUUCUGAAAUAGAAAAUGAAAAAUGCGGAGAGUGGGAAUAAGC